CUUCCAUAAUUAUAGUCUUCCAUGAAACCCUCUUAUCUUAAACCUACAAGAAUAAGAAAUGCUUACACUCAAUGUAUUCAACUGUAUUAAAGCAGCAAACUCUUACUUCAUUUUACAAUUGAAGAGUUAUAGGAGACAUGGCUCGUUUAUUCCACAAAUUUACGUAUCUUAUCUUGGAUUUGCAGCGAUCUUUUCAUCCAUUAUGAUGGAUUCAGAGGCGGCUGCAAUAACUUUUUCUUUAUCCUGAAGCUUCUUAUCUGUUGUACAAAAAUUUUCCCCAUCUGCAGCCCCUACAACAUCACGAGCCUUCAAGUCAAAGUUCUGUAACCCACCUCGACCACUCGCUAAUUGUUUCAAAUGAACCAAGGAAGGAACUUUGUCUUCCAUGGGUGUUCUCUUAUUGCAGACAUCAGAUUCCCCACUUUGUUGCUUUCUCCCAAAAAUCCUGGCUAUUGCUCCAGUACAAGAACAUAGCAUAUUUUUUGGUAUUUUUGUGGGGUUCAU
Molecule: unclassified non-coding RNA, 504 nt
Filed under: Hevea brasiliensis (rubber tree)
Lineage: Eukaryota; Viridiplantae; Streptophyta; Magnoliopsida; Malpighiales; Euphorbiaceae
Source: RNAcentral